Molecule: ribosomal RNA, 272 nt
Filed under: uncultured bacterium
Lineage: Bacteria
Description: partial 16S ribosomal RNA
Rfam family: Bacterial small subunit ribosomal RNA
Source: RNAcentral
UACGGCGGGUGCAAGCGUGACUCGGCAUCACUGGGCGUAAAGGAUGCGUAGGCUGGAAAUCAAGUCGAGAGUGAAAUCCAACGGCUCAACCGUUGAACUGCUCUCGAAACUGGUUACCUAGAAUAUGGGAGAGGUAGAUGGAAUUAGUGGUGUAGGGGUAAAAUCCGUAGAUAUCACUAGGAAUACCGAUUGCAAGGCGAUCUACUGGAACAUUAUUGACGCGGAGGCAUGAAAGCGGGGGGAGCAAACAGGAGUAGAUACCCGGGUAGUCC